GACAGAGGGUGCAAACGUUGUUCGGAAUUACUGGGCGUAAAGCGCGUGUAGGCUGCUUGGAAAGUCGGAUGUGAAAGCCCUGGGCUCAACCUAGGAAGUGCAUUCGAAACUGCAGGGCUAGAGUCCUGGAGAGGAAGGUGGAAUGCUUGGUGUAGAGGUGAAAUUCGUAGAUAUCAAGCGGAACACCGGUGGCGAAGGCGGCCUUCUGGACAGUGACUGACGCUGAGACGCGAAAGCGUGGGGAGCAAACAGG
Molecule: ribosomal RNA, 253 nt
Filed under: uncultured bacterium
Lineage: Bacteria
Description: partial 16S ribosomal RNA
Rfam family: Bacterial small subunit ribosomal RNA
Source: RNAcentral